Molecule: ribosomal RNA, 1360 nt
Filed under: metagenome
Description: bacterial LSU rRNA
Rfam family: Bacterial large subunit ribosomal RNA
Source: RNAcentral
UGUGAAGUCAAUGAUCCCAUGCUGCCAAGAAAAGCCUCUAGCGAGCUUCGAGCGGCCCGUACCCCAAACCGACACAGGUGGUCAGGUAGAGAAUACCGAGGCGAUCGGGCGAACUGUGGUUAAGGAACUCGGCAAAUUACCCCCGUAACUUCGGGAGAAGGGGGGCCACAGACUGUCAUACCCCACGCGGGUGGCAGCAGUAGGUGGCCGCAGAGACCAGGGGGAAGCGACUGUUUACUAAAAACACAGGUCCGUGCGAAGUCGUAAGACGAUGUAUACGGACUGACGCCUGCCCGGUGCUGGAACGUUAAGGGGACCGGUUAGUCCGCAAGGGCGAAGCUGAGAACUUAAGCGCCAGUAAACGGCGGUGGUAACUAUAACCAUCCUAAGGUAGCGAAAUUCCUUGUCGGGUAAGUUCCGACCUGCACGAAUGGCGUAACGACUUCCCUACUGUCUCAACCACAGGCCCGGCGAAAUUGCACUACGAGUAAAGAUGCUCGUUACGCGCGGAAGGACGGAAAGACCCCGGGACCUUCACUAUAGCUUGACAUUGGUAUCCGAAUUUAAUUGUGUAGGAUAGGUGGGAGGCUUUGAUCCGCGGACGCCAGUCCGUCGGGGAGCCAACGUUGAAAUACCACUCUGUUGACUUUGGGUAUCUAACUUCGGACCGUGAUCCGGUUCAGGGACAGUGUCUGGUGGGUAGUUUAACUGGGGCGGUUGCCUCCUAAAAUGUAACGGAGGCGCCCAAAGGUUCCCUCAGCCUGGUUGGCAAUCAGGUGUUGAGUGCAAGUGCACAAGGGAGCUUGACUGUGAGACUGACAGGUCGAGCAGGGACGAAAGUCGGGACUAGUGAUCCGGCACCUGCGAGUGGAAGCGGUGUCGCUCAACGGAUAAAAGGUACCCCGGGGAUAACAGGCUGAUCUUCCCCAAGAGUCCAUAUCGACGGGAUGGUUUGGCACCUCGAUGUCGGCUCGUCGCAUCCUGGGGCUGGAGUAGGUCCCAAGGGUUGGGCUGUUCGCCCAUUAAAGCGGCACGCGAGCUGGGUUUAGAACGUCGUGAGACAGUUCGGUCCCUAUCCUCCGCGCGCGUAGGAGACUUGAGAAGAGCUGUCCCUAGUACGAGAGGACCGGGACGGACGAACCUCUGGUGUGCCAGUUGUCAUGCCAAUGGCACGGCUGGUUAGCUACGUUCGGAAGGGAUAACCGCUGAAAGCAUCUAAGCGGGAAGCUCGCUUCAAGAUGAGGUCUCCCACCCCUUAGAGGGUUAAGGCCCCCAGCUAGACCACUGGGUUGAUAGGCCAGAAGUGUAAGCCUGGUAACAGGUUCAGCCGACUGGUACUAAUAGGCCGAGGACUUCUAAA